UUCCUGAGCUGUGGGCUUGAGAAAUUCAUUUUGCCUCCUGGAGCCUCUGAACCACCCCCCGCCAAGUGGAGAUGACAGCAUAAGCCCCCAGCAGAGCAGCCUGCUCGAGAAACACUCUGUGCCUGAAUCGGAUGGAAUCAAGACGGCAGCUCUUGAUGCCCAGGUGGUUGCACACAAAGUCAGGGGAGCACAGAUCUCCCUUUCUGCCUUUGUACAGGGCGAGCAGCACGGUGAUGGCCCGGGUCCCCUGUCCUCACACGGUGUGAAAAGAAGCAGCACGCCAGCAUGGCGUUACUUGCGGGGGGCCUUGAUAUACUAUGCCUAGUGUGGUGCACACGCAGGAAGUGACCCGUGUCCGCAGAGCAACGGCAGAGAAUUCGCACCAUCAACUGAGAGGAAUUAAAUACAUGAAGAAGCGACAUAGUGAGGUGUGGGUGAGUAGUAGGAGCUAGUGAGGGAGAGGAGAGAGCCCAGGCACUGUCACCAGCAGGACCUGUUCCCACCCAUAACCAAAGAGACGCCUGCGAGAAUUCAGCAAAGGAAUCUGGCAGUGCAGCCUGCGCCCGUCAGCCUCCAGGGGCAAGAAGCAGGCAGAGGAUACAUCCGAGGGGCAAAAAGAAAAUGACCAGCACAGGCUCCUCAUAUUAUUCCAUCUGUUCUCUUACUCAGACUCAUUAGC
Long non-coding RNA from Chinchilla lanigera (long-tailed chinchilla), 679 nucleotides. RefSeq lists it as uncharacterized. Lineage: Eukaryota; Metazoa; Chordata; Mammalia; Rodentia; Chinchillidae. The transcript is spliced from 3 exons. The record is from RefSeq and is a predicted model, not a curated record.